CUCCAAAGUGUUGAGUUCAGUUCAGGGCAGCAUCCCUGUUCUGUUAAUUAAACUUUGGGACAUUGAAAUUGGCUGAGGGAAAUUACUGAAUAGAGAGUAUUACUCUAUUCAUGUACUUCUAGCCUACACAG
Molecule: small nucleolar RNA, 131 nt
Organism: Arvicanthis niloticus (Nile rat)
Lineage: Eukaryota; Metazoa; Chordata; Mammalia; Rodentia; Muridae
Source: RefSeq, a predicted model, not a curated record